GCAAGCUAUUUAAGCUUAGUUUGGUAGAAUUGAUCUCAUCACGUUUUCUAUACCAUGCUCAGAGUUGCGAGAGGGAAGGCAUGUCCUGGACAAGUUGCAGGGCACAUAUAGAGAACAGCCAUUCACACUCACAUAAACACUUAUGGACACUCAACCCAUCUUACAAGUUUUUUGCAAUGUGAAGAAAAUAGGAGUACCUGGGGAGAACAUGCAAACUCCGCACGGGAAGGCUGGAACCCAGAUUCAAAACCACGGUCUUUGAGCUCUGUGGCAAAUGUGCUUACCAUUUCCUCCGUGCAGCUUGUAGAAUUUCUGUUUGUAAUUUUAAUCACAUUUAACACGCAUUGACUCUACAGUAUAUACUGUAUAUGUGAUUCAUUGCUAGUUUGCCUCCCUCAGGUAAGAGGUCCGCAAGGUCCAUACUGAAGUCGUGUGUUUUUUUUUUAAGUCCUCAGACUAAGGUUUGAAUUAUAUGUGAAUGUCAGACAGAUAAGGACCAAAUAAAUACAGUGGGGUCAUACAUAAUUUAGCCAAUAUGACCAGGACUCUGCACUAUUGUAUUGUGUGAUGACACACACUGACUUGCCUAUGUUUGUCUCAACCUCAACUUUGCGGAGCACAGGUGUAAAGUGUCUUGUAAAAGUACUCCGUUGCAAAAGUUAAAGUUAUAGCGACUUCUUACAAAUAAAAUCAAAUGUUCAGCUGUCACUCCAAUUGUCUGCAAAUGUCAUAUUUCAAUUAGCACAGGACAAUAUUUAUGCAAUAUGAAUUCUAAUAAUAAUAAUUGUAAUCUCUUUGCAUAAGUAUACAUACAAUGCAUACAUAAUUUUCUGUUAGAGAAAGAAAAAAAACGACAAUGGUCACUGAAGUCAUUUUUUACUGUUGUGUCUGGAAUUUUCCAAAAUGCAUAGUGACAAACCAACCACAAAUAUUUUAUGAGAAUGUCCUUUGGACACAUGACAAAAAAAGAUCUAUUUACAAAUGCAAAAGUCAUGCUGGCAAAGAAAAUGGCACUGUGCAUACAGUGCUUAUUGUGAAACACUGAGUAAACCUGGCCAUGUCUUAACUGUGUUGCUGUGUCCAACACAUGGUGGAAUGAAAGUGUGCAGAGUACAAUGAAACCCCAAAUCUGUCAAGACAUUUGGGAUGGUCUGACCAGUGUCAGAGAGCUUGGUCUCAAUCACAGGUUAUGUCUCCUCCAAGAGCAUAAUGACUCAAACCACAACGCUAAAAAUACCCAAGAGUGGCUAAGAACUCAAUGUUGCACUAUUCUGAAGUGGCCUUUUAUGAACCCUAAGCUACUAUAAAUAUACAGUAUUUAAAAGGAGUUGAAAAAUGAAGUGAAGUCUGUAAUCUGCACAUAUUUAGUCAUGCUGUAUAACCUCCCAUGCCCACAGCGUAGCUUGGCGUCCUUGUAACCAUCAUCUCCUAGAAUUGGAAUACUCUUGAAUUAUUCCUCUCUUCUUAGUUAGGUUUGAUGGUUAAGGUGUUAUUCCUCUCUGUUAGUUGUGUUUGUUCAGACACUUGGAAAAAAACCAAUGUAGAAUGCUGUUGAAGGUAUUUCCUGCUCACUGUGUUUACAAUCACCUUUAGUGCCCCUCGACCCCACCACUUUUAGGGCCCACCUCCACAGGACAUGUUUAACAUCAAAAGAGGAACUGUUAUCUCAUGUAUCUGUGUUCCUGCAAUGACACCAAAUGGUGGAUAGUGGUGGUCUGGUCUCACCUCACCACUCCCAACUUCUUCCAGCCACACCGGGAGCCCGAAUCGAUUCGUAAACUGCAGAAAAAUAAAGUAAACCCUUCGAAGGAACUGUU
Long non-coding RNA from Hippocampus zosterae (dwarf seahorse), 1817 nucleotides. RefSeq lists it as uncharacterized. Lineage: Eukaryota; Metazoa; Chordata; Actinopteri; Syngnathiformes; Syngnathidae. The record is from RefSeq and is a predicted model, not a curated record. The transcript is spliced from 2 exons.